CGGGCUGGGCUGGGCCAUGGACGCAGCCAGAACAGACUGUGCCUGUGCUUGCGUGAGGAAGAAGAAGGAAGAAAGGAGAAAAGAAAGAAAAAAAGAAAAGGAAAAGGAAAAAGGAAGGAUGGCCGUUGGAUGGGAAAUGGAUGGAUGAGAUUAAAAGAAACCCCUUCGCCUUAAUUGAAAACGGGUUUCACGGAAUUACGCCUCCAUGCAGAGAAAACGUACUCCGCGGAAUAAAAGAACAACAAAUAAAGAAAUAGCUUUUUCUGGGUCUUUAAAUUGCCGGAAAAUCAAAUAAGGCAAAUAAAAUACCAAACUGCAUCGGAAAAAUUCCAGAAAAUUCGUGAAUUUCCAAAUAACUGUUUGGAAGCUAGGAAAAAUAGUUUCCUCAUGGAAUAUAAUUUAUAAAAAUAGUUUUAAUGCAUAUGCAGCUCAAAUAAAUUCCAACAAAUGCAUAUAAUCACUCUUAAGGUCCAAAUAAACUCCCAAUUAAAUUGUAAGAUCAUCUCCAAACUCAAAUAUGGUCAAAAUGAUAUGCAUGUGACAUGAAAUAGGUGAUAACAUCCAAAUUAGAAAAAUUGGGAGGUUACAAACCUACCCUCCUUAAGAUGAAUCUCGCCCUCGAGAUUCGGGUUGGUUAGCAAAUAGGUGAGGGUAAUCCUUCUUCAAGUUCUCCUCUCGUUCCCAAGUGGACUCUUCCUCUGUAUGGUGACUCCACUGAACCUUGCAAAAUCGAAUGGUCUUCUUUCGAGUAAUCCGU
This 757-nucleotide long non-coding RNA is filed under the name Brachypodium distachyon (stiff brome). Its description in RNAcentral is "long non-coding RNA (BDIS_LNC003330)". Lineage: Eukaryota; Viridiplantae; Streptophyta; Magnoliopsida; Poales; Poaceae. The record is from RNAcentral.